UGGGGAAUAUUGGACAAUGGGCGAAAGCCUGAUCCAGCCAUGCCGCGUGUGUGAAGAAGGUCUUCGGAUUGUAAAGCACUUUAAGUUGGGAGGAAGGGCAUUAACCUAAUACGUUAGUGUUUUGACGUUACCGACAGAAUAAGCACCGGCUAACUCUGUGCCAGCAGCCGCGGUAAUACAGAGGGUGCAAGCGUUAAUCGGAAUUACUGGGCGUAAAGCGCGCGUAGGUGGUUUGAUAAGUUGGAUGUGAAAUCCCCGGGCUCAACCUGGGAACUGCAUUCAAAACUGACUGACUAGAGUAUGGUAGAGGGUGGUGGAAUUUCCUGUGUAGCGGUGAAAUGCGUAGAUAUAGGAAGGAACACCAGUGGCGAAGGCGACCACCUGGACUAAUACUGACACUGAGGUGCGAAAGCGUGGGGAGCAAACA
Molecule: ribosomal RNA, 427 nt
Filed under: uncultured bacterium
Lineage: Bacteria
Description: partial 16S ribosomal RNA
Rfam family: Bacterial small subunit ribosomal RNA
Source: RNAcentral